AGUCAUUGGGUGUCAAACCUAAAGGCGCAAUGAAAGUGUCAGAGGGGCGCUCAGCGCUCCUCGGAGGGAGGAUGGGCUCCCGGCCCCCCGGCCGGUGCCCCGCACUCCCGGGGCGUUUCAUUCUCGUUUACGAGUCGAGACGCACCAGGAGCGCACACGCUGUUACCCGAAAGAUGGUGAACUAUGCCUGGCCAGGACGAAGCCAGGGGAAACCCUGGUGGAGGUCCGAAGCGAUUCUGACGUGCAAAUCGAUCGUCUGAGCUGGGUAUAGGGGCGAAAGACCAAUCGAACUAUCUAGUAGCUGGUUCCCUCUGAAGUUUCCCUCAGGAUAGCUGGCUCUCGGGAAGAGACGAGUCUCAUCCGGUAGAGCGAAUGAUUAGAGGUGAUGGGGUCGAAACGACUUCAACCUAUUCUCAAACUCCCAAUAGAUGAGAGCCCCGGCUUGCUUGAAAGUGAAGCCGCGGGACUCGGAUCGGAGAGGCCAAGUGGGCCAAUUUUG
RNAcentral lists this ribosomal RNA (499 nucleotides) under Kleidocerys resedae. RNAcentral describes it as "eukaryotic LSU rRNA". It matches the Rfam family "Eukaryotic large subunit ribosomal RNA", at positions 689 to 1139 of the family's 3401-position model. Lineage: Eukaryota; Metazoa; Arthropoda; Insecta; Hemiptera; Lygaeidae. The record is from RNAcentral.